Molecule: ribosomal RNA, 255 nt
Filed under: uncultured bacterium
Lineage: Bacteria
Description: partial 16S ribosomal RNA
Rfam family: Bacterial small subunit ribosomal RNA
Source: RNAcentral
CGAGGCAAAGCCGCGAGGCAGAGCGAAUCGCUAAAAGCCGUCCCAGUUCGGAUUGCAGGCUGCAACCCGCCUGCAUGAAGUUGGAAUCGCUAGUAAUCGCGGAUCAGCAUGCCGCGGUGAAUACGUUCCCGGGCCUUGUACACACCGCCCGUCACACCAUGAGAGUCGGGAACACCCGAAGUCCGUAGCCUGACCGCAAGGGGGGCGCGGCCGAAGGUGGGUUCGAUAAUUGGGGUGAAGUCGUAACAAGGUAGC